UACGUAGGUGGCAAGCGUUGUCCGGAUUUACUGGGCGUAAAGAGCGCGCAGGCGGUCGGAUAAGUCGAAUGUGAAAGCCCCCGGCUCAACUGGGGAGGGUCAUUCGAUACUGUUCGACUCGAAGGCAGGAGAGGGAAGUGGAAUUCCCGGUGUAGUGGUGAAAUGCGUAGAUAUCGGGAGGAACACCAGUGGCGAAGGCGACUUCCUGGCCUGUUCUUGACGCUGAGGCGCGAAAGCUAGGGGAGCAGACGGG
This 253-nucleotide ribosomal RNA is filed under the name uncultured bacterium. Its description in RNAcentral is "partial 16S ribosomal RNA". It matches the Rfam family "Bacterial small subunit ribosomal RNA", at positions 524 to 776 of the family's 1533-position model. The record is from RNAcentral.